AAAACGUAAUUUAAAUUAUUACAUUACAUGUGCAUUAAGUAAUUUAAACAAUCGAACAAGGAUUUAUUUUCAUUAUCAAUUUAUUUAUAUAUUACUACUUUUUCAUUGUAUUCUUAUUUAUUGUUCAAGCUAACUGUAUCCGAGAUAUUUACGCUAUCUCGCCUAAAGAAAACUAUUUUAAAUAAAAUACCAUUACUGAAAGUUACCUCUACUGAAUCAUUGAAGUGACUGAUUGGUGUAAAACAACUACCCUCAAAAUAGGCCACCAUUCAUGAAAAUGCUUUACCCAUUGUUCCAUCAAUGUAGCUGGGCAGACAAUUAUGCUGGGUCCUAAUCCUCGAAAUCUAUUAAGAAGGGCGCAUUGCACGUUACUAAUAUUGUAAACGAUAAAGUGUGACAGUGAUAGCUUGUGUAAUGCUUAUUUAUGUUUACCUUCCACCAUCGGAAAGUAAUUCGCUACAAUCCAAGCCUGCAAGAAAUGCAA
Molecule: non-coding RNA, 484 nt
Organism: Megalopta genalis
Lineage: Eukaryota; Metazoa; Arthropoda; Insecta; Hymenoptera; Halictidae
Source: RefSeq, a predicted model, not a curated record